RNAcentral lists this unclassified non-coding RNA (2076 nucleotides) under Dendronephthya gigantea. RNAcentral describes it as "protein SERAC1-like, transcript variant X2". The record is from RNAcentral. Lineage: Eukaryota; Metazoa; Cnidaria; Anthozoa; Malacalcyonacea; Nephtheidae.
CGGGGAGAUUUAAAUGGAUGAAUUUGCUACUUUCUAGUUCAAAAUGUAAACAGAAACCUUUUAAAACGUUGAAAAGCGAAGAUCUGCAGGACAUUGGCAAUGUGUUAUGUCGCUAGAGCUAUUAGUGGCAUGAGAUAUGAGAGUUAUUGGUAAACUAGGCAUCGGUCUGGCAACUGUAUUGGGUGGUUCAUAUCUUGGACACCUGCUUUUCAAUCAGCGUGAAUGGUUCAACUUGGCUGUCGCUAAUUAUGUUCAGGUUCCUAUGAAAGAAGAGUUACAAGGUCUUGUUCCCACAGGAACGCAACUGCUUGGCUUUUUUGUCUCACAGUUUCCCAAACAAAUCUUGAUGCUUUCUCAGUCAGAUCAUUUUCUCAUCAGAAAUAUUUCCCAGAAGAUUUUAUCCUCUGCCAUCUUACCAGAAGGUUUCAACAUUGCCACAACACUUGAUGAAGUUUCUGAUAGUGUUUUAACGAGUCUCGCCAGGGAAUCCAUUCUGGAGGAAAGUUGUUUCCCUGGCAUCAAGAACUGUGAUCUGCCUCAGAAAAACGACAAGGAACUGAGCGAAGCAUUUCGUCAGCUGCUGUCAUCUCUGCCCACAUCAGGACAAUGCGCAGCCUGGUUCACUGAAUCCGCUUUUCAUGGGGGGAAAUCCGGUCACAACUUGUACAAGACGAUAUUUUGGCAUCCUGAAAAUGGAGAUCAUCUUGAAACAGUUUCUGCUGACGACGAAAUUCUCUUGUUUUUAAAAGCACUGCGCAAACAUUCAGAAGUAAGAGAACAUAGAUCAGUGAUUCUCGAGGCUGGUGGAUUAGAAUUACUGCGUUUAGUGAGUUUAAACUAUGGUGGCGUCAAGGUGGAAAGAUUAGUCUCGCACGUCCUGGGAAAUAUGGCGAUAGAUGCUUCAUCGCGAGACAAGAUCAUCAAGACAGGCUGGUUACGGGAGCUUCGGCGAUGGAUAAAAUCGAAGGACUUGAUCGUCAAAAGUCAAUCGCUUCGAGCUUUAGCUAACUUGGACAGAGAAGGCGAAAAAGGGCAAAUAUACGAUGAUGGAAUAUUUGUGGCUUAUCCAGUCGAAAGAUUAAAAUGGUGUAGACCAGAGGUUGAUAUUGUAUUCGUUCACGGUCUUCGUGGAAGUCCUUUUAGAACUUGGAGAAGUGAAACAGAUGACUCGCUUGUGCAGACGCCGCGAAACAAGACUGGCUGUUGGCCACGGGAUUGGUUUCCAGUUGAUAUUCCAAGAUGUCGCGUUGUUUUGGUUGAAUACGACACAGAGUUGAGUGGCUGGACGUCGAAGUGUCCUUCGCAACCGGAAGUUUCGACAAUCGAAUAUCGUAGUGCAGAGCUUUUGAACAAAUUAAAAAAUGCUGGUAUAGGAAGACGUCCAGUGGUGUGGUUUGCGCAUUCUAUGGGAGGUUUAAUGGUAAAACAAAUUUUAGUGGACGCUACGAAAUCAUCAGAAUUUAGUUCAUUGCAGUCCAACACUAAAGGUGUCGUGUUCUAUGCUGUGCCCCACAAAGGUUCAGAGAUUGCUUCAAUGGUCGCUGGAAAAGCCAGAUAUUUGUUUUUACCUUCCAGUGAGGUCAAGGCAUUACAAAAAGGCUCAGAAUAUCUUGAAGUUCUACAGAAAAACUUUCUCGACUUGGUUCAAAACAACAAAGUGGAAGUUCUGAGCUUCGCAGAGACCGAACCAGCGAAAAUCGUGCGAGAUACGCUCAUAGUCUCUCCGGACUCCGCAGACUUUGGAGUGGGCGAGUUCAUUCAGCUGCCAGCUAAUCAUUAUAAUGUAUGCAAACCCCGGAGUCGCUGUGACCCAACUUACGUGAAGACGGUCGAUUUCGUUAAACGACAUUUGGUUGACAACGAGAAUUUCAUGCCAAUAAUUCUGUUUUGAGAACAGUAAUCUACACAACUGUCAAGGGCGUGGGAAAAGAUAUUCGACGUGGAAAUGCCCUCCGUGUUUAACCCUGUCUUCACAGUGGCAACAGAGAGACGUUCACAGCAUAUAAGAUUGGAAUCAAGAAAACCAGUGUCAAACUUCGCAUGUUAUCUGACCUGUCAUCCGAAACACCUGCUUCG